AGGCAAGAGCCACUGCACCUGGCCCCACCCUGCAUUCUACCACCUGAAGGUAGACCAUAUGGAACACAAGACAGUGCAGUCACAAUGCCCAGCUCACCAAAGAAGAAGGCAAGACAAGCCACUGCAGCAUCAGGAAAUCUAGCUUCAAGAGCAGAGUGACCUGGGGCCAGUUCUCAUUUGAGCCUCAGUGAGCCUCAGUUUCCUCAAAUGGAAUAAUGGAAGCCCCCUCUCAGCAUUUUGAGAGCCAAAUGAGAUCAGCAAAUUCCAGUCAUCUGUGUCCAGGCUGCCCUGGGUGCUGGAUCCUAUGUGCUGCGAUGGACUUAUGAGUGAAUGCAUCAAAAAGACCAAGUUGAACUUAUGAGCGAAUGCAUCAAAAAGACCAAGACUUGAUCCCUUGCCCACAAAGAUACAAGGCUGAGGACAAAGCCAUGAAGGAAAAGCCUCAUUGAAGAAGAGGAACCUAAGAGAAGCAGGUUCUGCUCUGAUGAACUCCCAUAAAGGCAUUCCCAUAAAGGUGUGAGCCUGAGUGAUAAUCUAGAUAUGGUACAGUUGACAUCAGGUAUAUGGCGGCAGCCAGAAAUUCAACUUUGUCCAUCAGCUCUCUGCACAACAGGAAAGAUGGUGACCUUCCAGGCUUAUCUGAGGUCCAAGAGUAACAUCACAAACACAGUAACUACACCCAGCCAAAGAAAAGCAUACCUGAAUCCA
Gorilla gorilla gorilla (western lowland gorilla) is the source of this 708-nucleotide long non-coding RNA. RefSeq lists it as uncharacterized. The transcript is spliced from 4 exons. The record is from RefSeq and is a predicted model, not a curated record. Lineage: Eukaryota; Metazoa; Chordata; Mammalia; Primates; Hominidae.